CAAUCUGCCCUUCACUCUGGGACAAGCCCUGGAAACGGGGUCUAAUACCGGAUAACACUCCUGCCUGCAUGGGUGGGGGUUAAAAGCUCCGGCGGUGAAGGAUGAGCCCGCGGCCUAUCAGCUUGUUGGUGAGGUAGUGGCUCACCAAGGCGACGACGGGUAGCCGGCCUGAGAGGGCGACCGGCCACACUGGGACUGAGACACGGCCCAGACUCCUACGGGAGGCAGCAGUGGGGAAUAUUGCACAAUGGGCGAAAGCCUGAUGCAGCGACGCCGCGUGAGGGAUGACGGCCUUCGGGUUGUAAACCUCUUUCAGCAGGGAAGAAGCGAAAGUGACGGUACCUGCAGAAGAAGCGCCGGCUAACUACGUGCCAGCAGCCGCGGUAAUACGUAGGGCGCAAGCGUUGUCCGGAAUUAUUGGGCGUAAAGAGCUCGUAGGCGGCUUGUCACGUCGGUUGUGAAAGCCCGGGGCUUAACCCCGGGUCUGCAGUCGAUACGGGCAGGCUAGAGUGUGGUAGGGGAGAUCGGAAUUCCUGGUGUAGCGGUGAAAUGCG
This 554-nucleotide ribosomal RNA is filed under the name Streptomyces sp. man136. RNAcentral describes it as "bacterial SSU rRNA". It matches the Rfam family "Bacterial small subunit ribosomal RNA", at positions 122 to 690 of the family's 1533-position model. Lineage: Bacteria; Bacillati; Actinomycetota; Actinomycetes; Kitasatosporales; Streptomycetaceae. The record is from RNAcentral.